This 497-nucleotide ribosomal RNA is filed under the name uncultured bacterium. RNAcentral's name for it is "partial 16S ribosomal RNA". It matches the Rfam family "Bacterial small subunit ribosomal RNA", at positions 28 to 507 of the family's 1533-position model. The record is from RNAcentral.
GAUGAACGCUGGCGGCGUGCCUAAUACAUGCAAGUCGAGCGAACGGACGAGAAGCUUGCUUCUCUGAUGUUAGCGGCGGACGGGUGAGUAACACGUGGAUAACCUACCUAUAAGACUGGGAUAACUUCGGGAAACCGGAGCUAAUACCGGAUAAUAUUUUGAACCGCAUGGUUCAAAAGUGAAAGACGGUCUUGCUGUCACUUAUAGAUGGAUCCGCGCUGCAUUAGCUAGUUGGUAAGGUAACGGCUUACCAAGGCAACGAUGCAUAGCCGACCUGAGAGGGUGAUCGGCCACACUGGAACUGAGACACGGUCCAGACUCCUACGGGAGGCAGCAGUAGGGAAUCUUCCGCAAUGGGCGAAAGCCUGACGGAGCAACGCCGCGUGAGUGAUGAAGGUCUUCGGAUCGUAAAACUCUGUUAUUAGGGAAGAACAUAUGUGUAAGUUACUGUGCACAUCUUGACGGUACCUAAUCAGAAAGCCACGGCUAACUACGUG